GGCGGCAGGGCUGAGGGGCCCUGGGGCCCGGCCGAGCGCCGCCGGGGGCCCGUCGGUCAGCAGCGAGGCGGCGCGGCGUCGGGUGGGCCAACGGGGCCCGCGGGGCGAGCGCGGACACGGACGGCGUCGGCCUCAGCCGCCACCCAGCAGCCUGCGGCCCCGAGGCGCAGGCGCAGCCCCAAGGCACAGGCGCAGGAAGGCGGCCCCAGGGCGCAGACGCGGGCGCAGGGGGCCGCGGCGGGGGCGCGGGGGGGCUACCCCAGGGCGCAGGCGCGGGCUCGGGACAGCAGCCCCUGGGAGCAGCGCGGGGCACGCGGGGCCGCACAGGGCCGCGGCCGCAGGACCCCUCGGCCCUCAGUGUCCGGGAGAGCACGCGCAGAGGUGGGAAGCGUCCCGCGAGCUGUGGCCGCGGACGGAGAGAACGACCCUGACCGCGAACCGUACGGGCUCUGCUGCGGGGCGGAGGAGCCUGCUCUGGGCGUGCGAGGCUGCGACGGCCACACAGCCGUUGGCGUCCACGGGACAGCUUACGGAACGCUCGGAGUUUUAGGCCUUAAAAGGAUGAGCUUCAUAGGUUACCGGAUCUCCGCGUUUACAAGAUUCGACCAUGAAGAAACGAUCCGAUUAGAAAACGGCACAAGGCACGAAGAGAUGCGGCAACGUGGGGAACGCGGGGCGGCGGGUGGAGACACAGAGCCAGGCCGCGAAGGAGCGCGCCCACCACGACGGGGCUUCUCCGGACCCCUGGGGGCGACAGCAAACACCGCUGCUGGGGAAGGGGAAGAGGAGGAGGAGGAGGAGGAGGAGGAGGAGGAGGAGGAGCCGGCCGCUGUGCCCGCUGCUGGGAAUGUGGGACGGGACCGCGCUCCGGAGGAGCCUGGCAGGGUCGCAGAAAACGAAGCGUGCAACUCACCUGUGACCCCAACGGCCUUGCCGGGAAGUCCCGUCCACGGCAAAGCCGGUGUGGGGCGUGGAUGGCAGCCUCGUUCAGGACGGGCCCAGGCGACCCGGGCGUCCGUCAAGGAGCUGCCGCAGCAGACUGUGGCCACUUCCCGGAAUAGCUCUCCGCCGUGA
RNAcentral lists this long non-coding RNA (1074 nucleotides) under Canis lupus familiaris (dog). RNAcentral's name for it is "lncRNA (ENSCAFG00000051709.1)". Lineage: Eukaryota; Metazoa; Chordata; Mammalia; Carnivora; Canidae. The record is from RNAcentral.